RNAcentral lists this ribosomal RNA (354 nucleotides) under Klebsiella quasipneumoniae. RNAcentral's name for it is "partial 23S ribosomal RNA". It matches the Rfam family "Bacterial large subunit ribosomal RNA", at positions 2559 to 2907 of the family's 2925-position model. Lineage: Bacteria; Pseudomonadati; Pseudomonadota; Gammaproteobacteria; Enterobacterales; Enterobacteriaceae. The record is from RNAcentral.
UAGGUCCCAAGGGUAUGGCUGUUCGCCAUUUAAAGUGGUACGCGAGCUGGGUUUAGAACGUCGUGAGACAGUUCGGUCCCUAUCUGCCGUGGGCGCUGGAGAAUUGAGGGGGGCUGCUCCUAGUACGAGAGGACCGGAGUGGACGCAUCACUGGUGUUCGGGUUGUCAUGCCAAUGGCACUGCCCGGUAGCUAAAUGCGGAAGAGAUAAGUGCUGAAAGCAUCUAAGCACGAAACUUGCCCCGAGAUGAGUUCUCCCUGAGACUUUAAGUCUCCUGAAGGAACGUUGAAGACGACGACGUUGAUAGGCCGGGUGUGUAAGCGCAGCGAUGCGUUGAGCUAACCGGUACUAAUGA